GUGCCGUGGAGUUUCAUCUCGAGACCCUGUAGCUGAGCCACUUGCAGCUGGGACAACACCUCCCUAUUUAGGUUUGGGGCUGCUGCCGAUGUCCAUUUUGUUUUGCAGAUGAGGAAACUGAGGCACUGGCAAGGCACUAGGGUCAAGAGAUUCUGAAGCCCAUGCUCCUCACCACCAUGCUUAGCUCAGUUAUUGAAGACUGUGUGAAAUGGCUGAACCUCUUCUUCAUGCCUGAGGUCAUCACGAUGAACAUAACAUCAUCAUGUGUGGCAUCCCAUGUGGGACGCUGUAGCUGCUGCAGUGUCUGGUGCAUGAAGAGCGCACGGUUGCGGGAUCGCUGUGGUCCAGGUGGGGUCCUGCUAGUGGGCUUUACCGGUCUCUACAACCAGCGGUGCAUGCAUCCAACCAAUAAUUUAACAUCAAACUACACAUCUACCAACUUCAUGUACCUAAGGAGUGGAAUGAUAGCAAGAACUCCGCCUUGAAAACCUUGAGCCUUCAGAGAGACCGAUUUGAAUAAGAACUCCAUCUCCUGUGUGGCCUGCCUUACUGCAAUUAAACUCUUUCUUUAUUGAAACAAACAAAAAAACCCAAAACAUAAAAAACGAACAAAAUCCCUUCAAUUAGUGAUUAAUCAUCUCCCCCUAGUGGUAGAAGGGUGUAUAGGAAAAGUAACCAAGCAAAAACCAAAACUCCCAAAUGCUCUUCAGAAAAAACCUACACCCAGCCUGGGCAGUACAGCGUGACCCUUGUCUCUACUAAAAAUAAACAAAUUAGCAGGGCCUAGUCCCAGCUACUCGGGAGGCUGAGGUGGGAAGAUCGCUUGAGCCCAGGAGUUCAAGGCUGCAGUGAGCUAUGAUUGUACCAUUGCAUUCCAACCUGGGGGACACAGCACGUCCUCAUCUCUAAAAAAACAAAAACAAAAACAAAAAACAGAAAAGACAUGGGC
This 949-nucleotide long non-coding RNA is filed under the name Pongo abelii (Sumatran orangutan). Its description in RNAcentral is "lncRNA (ENSPPYG00000031281.1)". Lineage: Eukaryota; Metazoa; Chordata; Mammalia; Primates; Hominidae. The record is from RNAcentral.